RNAcentral lists this long non-coding RNA (420 nucleotides) under Carica papaya (papaya). Its description in RNAcentral is "long non-coding RNA (CPAP_LNC006610)". Lineage: Eukaryota; Viridiplantae; Streptophyta; Magnoliopsida; Brassicales; Caricaceae. The record is from RNAcentral.
UUCCUAAAGCUUUUAUCCUUUUGAGGAGCAAAAUUCUUUAUAUUGGUCUUAAGGAUGUCAUUUUAUUCAACUCAACUUUCACUUGGCAUACAUUUCCUUUAGUUGGACAAUGCUUGAUAGGUUUAGUCAUGUUUUUGGUAAUAUUUGUUUGAUUCAAUUUAUCUGAUAUCGAAGGUUCAAGGGAAUCACUACACUUUGUUCAAGGAAACUAUUUGAGGGAUGUUGUUUGUUUUUAAUCCUCAAUUGCGGAUAGCAACACUACUCCUUGAGUUUUUAACUUAUCCCCCAAUUGGAUGAGAAGGCAAUAUUUACAAUGGUGUUGUACAUUCUCGUACUUGAACUAGUCCUUAGCAAGGGGUAACAUGAUUUCAACAACAUUCUUUCCUAUAACUAAUUAAUAGAACUUUUUCUUUAAUCAAU